UACAGAGGUGCCAAGCGUUGUUCGGAUUUAUUGGGCGUAAAGGGUGCGUAGGCGGUUGUGCAAGUCGGAUGUGAAAUCCCGGAGCCUAACUCCGGAACUGCAUUCGAAACUGCACAGCUGGAGGACUGGAGAGGUAACCGGAAUUCUCGGUGUAGCAGUGAAAUGCGUAGAUAUCGAGAGGAACACCAGAGGCGAAAGCGGGUUACUGGACAGAUCCUGACGCUGAGGCACGAAAGCCAGGGGAG
Molecule: ribosomal RNA, 245 nt
Filed under: uncultured bacterium
Lineage: Bacteria
Description: partial 16S ribosomal RNA
Rfam family: Bacterial small subunit ribosomal RNA
Source: RNAcentral